RNAcentral lists this transfer RNA (64 nucleotides) under uncultured Mailhella sp. It matches the Rfam family "tRNA", at positions 6 to 65 of the family's 71-position model. From Rfam's summary of the family: Transfer RNA (tRNA) molecules are approximately 80 nucleotides in length. Their secondary structure includes four short double-helical elements and three loops (D, anti-codon, and T loops). Lineage: Bacteria; Pseudomonadati; Thermodesulfobacteriota; Desulfovibrionia; Desulfovibrionales; Desulfovibrionaceae. The record is from RNAcentral.
GGCGUAGCUCAACUGGCAGAGCAGCUGAUUUGUAAUCAGCAGGUUGCGGGUUCAAGUCCCAUCG